This 466-nucleotide ribosomal RNA is filed under the name uncultured bacterium. RNAcentral describes it as "SSU rRNA". It matches the Rfam family "Bacterial small subunit ribosomal RNA", at positions 26 to 518 of the family's 1533-position model. The record is from RNAcentral.
AGGACUAACGCUGGCGGCGUGCCUAACACAUGCAAGUCGAGCGGGGUAGCAAUACCCAGCGGCAGACGGGUGAGUAACGCGUGGUCAACCUUCCGUUGAAUGGGGGAUAACUAGCCGAAAGGUUAGCUAAUACCGCAUACGAUCUUUUGAAGGCAUCUUUAAAAGAUGAAAGGAGCAAUUCGUUCAACGACGGGACCGCGUCCCAUUAGCUAGAUGGUGGGGUAAUGGCCUACCAUGGCAACGAUGGGUAGCUGGUUUGAGAGAGCGACCAGCCACACUGGGACUGAGAAACGGCCCAGACUCCUACGGGAGGCAGCAGUGAGGAAUUUUCCGCAAUGGGCGAAAGCCUGACGGAGCGACGCCGCGUGUGGGAAGAAGGCCUUCGGGUCGUAAACCACUGUCGAAGGGGACGAGUAAUGACGGUACCCUUGGAGGAAGCCCCGGCUAACUACGUGCCAGCAGCCGC